Molecule: ribosomal RNA, 377 nt
Filed under: uncultured bacterium
Lineage: Bacteria
Description: bacterial SSU rRNA
Rfam family: Bacterial small subunit ribosomal RNA
Source: RNAcentral
AUACGUAGGUGGCGAGCGUUGUCCGGAAUUACUGGGCGUAAAGGGUGCGUAGGCGGAAUAUUAAGUCAGAUGUGAAAACCCAGGGCUCAACUGUGGGACUGCAUUUGAAACUGAUAUUCUAGAGUGCAGGAGAGGGAAGCGGAAUUCCUAGUGUAGCGGUGAAAUGCGUAGAUAUUAGGAAGAACACCAGUGGCGAAGGCGGCUUCCUGGACUGUAACUGACGCUGAGGCACGAAAGCGUGGGGAGCAAACAGGAUUAGAUACCCUGGUAGUCCACGCUGUAAACGAUGAGUGCUAGGUGUAGGAGGUAACGAUACUUUCUGUGCCGCAGCAAACGCAAUAAGCACUCCGCCUGGGGAGUACGGUCGCAAGACUAAA